CCGCGUGAGCGAAGAAGGCCUUCGGGUCGUAAAGCUCUGUUGUUAGGGAAGAACAAGUAUCGGAGUAACUGCCGGUACCUUGACGGUACCUAACCAGAAAGCCACGGCUAACUACGUGCCAGCAGCCGCGGUAAUACGUAGGUGGCAAGCGUUGUCCGGAAUUAUUGGGCGUAAAGCGCGCGCAGGCGGUCCUUUAAGUCUGAUGUGAAAGCCCACGGCUCAACCGUGGAGGGUCAUUGGAAACUGGGGGACUUGAGUGCAGAAGAGGAGAGUGGAAUUCCACGUGUAGCGGUGAAAUGCGUAGAGAUGUGGAGGAACACCAGUGGCGAAGGCGACUCUCUGGUCUGUAACUGACGCUGAGGCGCGAAAGCGUGGGGAGCAAACAGGAUUAGAUACCCUGGUAGUCCACGCCGUAAACGAUGAGUGCUAAGUGUUAGAGGGUUUCCGCCCUUUAGUGCUGCAGCUAACGCAUUAAGCACUCCGCCUGGGGAGUACGGCCGCAAGGCUG
RNAcentral lists this ribosomal RNA (508 nucleotides) under uncultured Bacillota bacterium. RNAcentral's name for it is "bacterial SSU rRNA". It matches the Rfam family "Bacterial small subunit ribosomal RNA", at positions 397 to 896 of the family's 1533-position model. The record is from RNAcentral. Lineage: Bacteria; Bacillati; Bacillota.